CCAGCCACAGCACAAGGUACAACCUUGGCUAUCUCUGGAA
This 40-nucleotide non-coding RNA is filed under the name Mus musculus (house mouse). Lineage: Eukaryota; Metazoa; Chordata; Mammalia; Rodentia; Muridae. The record is from RNAcentral.